Molecule: RNase P RNA, 409 nt
Filed under: Kangiella sp.
Lineage: Bacteria; Pseudomonadati; Pseudomonadota; Gammaproteobacteria; Kangiellales; Kangiellaceae
Description: RNase P RNA component class A
Rfam family: Bacterial RNase P class A
About the family: Ribonuclease P (RNase P) is a ubiquitous endoribonuclease, found in archaea, bacteria and eukarya as well as chloroplasts and mitochondria.
Source: RNAcentral
AGGGUCAACUGGACAGUCGCCGCUUAAUUCAUUAAUUUGUUUUUAAGGGGAGGAAAGUCCGGACUUUAAAGAGUAGAGUGCCAGGUAACGCCUGGGCAGUGUAAACUGACGGCAAGUGCAGCAGAAAGUAAACCGCCUUUYARWMWURGANCUUGRKUYWARMUUWNNAUCGGUAAGGGUGAAAGGGUGCGGUAAGAGCGCACCGCGCUGGUGGUAACAUUCAGUGGCAAGGUAAACCCCACUCAAAGCAAGACCAAAUAGGGUUCCGUGUAGCGUUAGUGUUUACAUUUUCGACUACUGAGGUGUUACUCGCAUUGGAACCGGGUAGGUCGCUUGAGCCAUAGAGUGAUUUAUGGCCUAGACGAAUGACUGUUCACGACAGGAUCCGGCUUAUAGGUUGACCCUCACA